AUUGAACGCUGGCGGCAGGCCUAACACAUGCAAGUCGAACGAGUGGCGGACGGAUGAGUAAUGUCUGGGAACCUGCCUGAUGGAGGGGGAUAACUACUGGAAACGGUAGCUAAUACCGCAUACCAUCCGAUGUUCCCAGAUGGGAUUAGCUUGUUGGUGGGGUAACGGCUCACCAAGGAGACGAUCCCUAGCUGGUCUGAGAGGAUGACCAUCCACCAUGGAACUGAUACACGGUCCAGAUGCCUACGGGAGGAAGCAGUGGGGAAGUGUGCACAAUGGGCGCAAGCCUGAUGCAGCCAUGCGGCGUGUAUGAAGAAGGCCUUCGGGUUGUAAAGUACUUUCAGCGGGGAGGCGUUACCCGCAGAAGAAGCACCGGCUAACUCCGUGCCAGCAGCCGCGGUAAUUC
This 406-nucleotide ribosomal RNA is filed under the name uncultured bacterium. Its description in RNAcentral is "partial 16S ribosomal RNA". It matches the Rfam family "Bacterial small subunit ribosomal RNA", at positions 30 to 526 of the family's 1533-position model. The record is from RNAcentral.